Molecule: long non-coding RNA, 1424 nt
Organism: Ctenopharyngodon idella (grass carp)
Lineage: Eukaryota; Metazoa; Chordata; Actinopteri; Cypriniformes; Xenocyprididae
Exons: 3
Source: RefSeq, a predicted model, not a curated record
CGAGAUGCCUCACUGUAUCCUAAGCUCUUGAGCCAGUCUGAUCAUGCACACGGUCCAUCUUCUCUGUCUGGCAGCUCUAAGCAUCUGCACACUAAUAACUUGCCAUCCUAUACAAAAGGAAACAAUCCAAACAGAUUUAAGAAGUGAAAAUCAGAGAGAUAUGGAGGCCAAGAUCAGCAGCUAUUUCCUGAUGAUUAAAUUUGGUAAUAGGAUGAGGAAAGCCAUUCCUCAACAGUCAAAAGGAGAAAUUUUACUGAAGAAAAGAAGCAAGGACUGCCUUUCAGUACUUGAUAUUAAAAAUAAUAAUAUAAUGUGCUUGGAUGCAACUGAAAAGCCAUAUAUUUCAGUUGAUGUCAUUAAUAAGGACUGCUUUAUAACAAUUCCAAGAAAGAAUUCCUGUCAAUCUACAUGCAGGAGUGACGCAAUGAUCAAGCUUUUUGGAGCUAAAAGCCACACUGAGGCUUCUAGUGCAGAAUUACCUCUUUCUCUGCAAUCAAACAACCAUAAAACACAUCUCAGGCAGAGAAGAAGCCAACAUGUUGACCCAGCUGAUCCUUUGGGAUUCGAGAAUCCCAAGUCAAGGACCACCAAUUAUCGAAGACCAAAUCGAGAGCAAGAGCGUGAGCGCAGCAGUAAUGUUUCUAAAGAGACCAUCACUUCCUAUGAUGACCCUUUACACGUACUGCUCUCCAAGAGCCCAGUCAGUCCAAAUUUGCAAAAGGAAAAGAAAAACAAGCAAGUUGCACCAUCUGAUCCGUUCUGAACAAAUUACUGACCACACCGAUCUGAAGAACUUGUAUUGUAAUGUUAAGAAGGCAAAUGGUUCCAUGGAAACAUAUAACCAGCAAGUAUAUGAUGCAAUCCAGGGCCUCUUUUUCAGCUCAGUAGUGAGGCUAGUUUAGGUCACUGCUUGUCAGUCCUUUCACCUUUUUAAGUCAGUUAAAAUUUAAACUACCUUGCAAUGCUGUGGCAAUGAUGUUGCUUUCAUUAGAACUGUGCAAGUACAUUUUUCAUUGAUUUAUGUAGGUAAUAUCAUGAAAUACUAAGAAUUACAUGCAGUUGGCAAUUAUUUUCUUGCAAUGUUUGGAGUCUGCAAUUUAUAUCAUAUUUCAAGUGUUGUCAGUAGACAUAAAUAUCAUAGUUUCAAACAUAUAUGAGAUGGUGCUGGCCACCUCUACUGAAUUAUUUAUUGAAGAAGUAUUGAUACUUUUUUUUAUUUAUUAUAUUUUAUAUUGAUAUCUUUAAUCUUAGAAAAAUGAUCAAAUAUCAAUUUAUCAAAAAAUUCCUGAAAAGAUUAUUUAAUUUAAGGGUAAUUUAAACAGUUCUAAGAAAGUAAUUACCAGUAUUCAUUGAUUAAAAUGUAUAAAGCAUUUUGCAAAAAAUGUAAUGGAUGCAUUCAAACAAUAAAAUGAUUGAAAAUUUGA